CGUAUCACCCAAGACAACUUUACGGAGUUGACGAUUGACGGAGCGAAGCGACGUCAAAGCGUUCAUUAAAGUCGAGUUGGCUUAGGGAUACGUUCGUUGGGUAGGGGAGCGUUCUGUAAGCCUGUGAAGGUGUGUCGUGAGGCAUGCUGGAGGUAUCAGAAGUGCGAAUGCUGACAUAAGUAACGAUAAAGCGGGUGAAAAGCCCGCUCGCCGGAAGACCAAGGGUUCCUGUCCAACGUUAAUCGGGGCAGGGUGAGUCGACCCCUAAGGCGAGGCCGAAAGGCGUAGUCGAUGGGAAACGGGUUAAUAUUCCCGUACUUGGUGUUACUGCGAAGGGGGGACGGAGAAGGCUAUGUUGGCCGGGCGACGGUUGUCCCGGUUUAAGCGUGUAGGUGUGUGUUCCAGGUAAAUCCGGUUCACUUUAACACUGAGGCGUGACGACGAGGCACUACGGUGCUGAAGCAACAAAUGCCCUGCUUCCAGGAAAAGCCUCUAAGCAUCAGGUAACACGAAAUCGUACCCCAAACCGACACAGGUGGUCAGGUAGAGAAUACCAAGGCGCUUGAGAGAACUCGGG
Molecule: ribosomal RNA, 577 nt
Filed under: Salmonella enterica subsp. enterica serovar Typhimurium
Lineage: Bacteria; Pseudomonadati; Pseudomonadota; Gammaproteobacteria; Enterobacterales; Enterobacteriaceae
Description: partial 23S ribosomal RNA
Rfam family: Bacterial large subunit ribosomal RNA
Source: RNAcentral